AUGAACGCUGGCGGCGUGGAUAAGACAUGCAAGUCGAACGGAGAUUGCUGAGCUUGCUUGGCAAUUUGAGUGGCGAACGGGUGAGUAACACGUGAGCAACCUGCCGAAAAGAAGGGGAUAGCUCGGGGAAACUCGAAUUAAUACCGUAUAACGUUUAUCAGGGAUCCUGGUGGAACGAAAGGUGCCUUUAGGGGUGCCGCUUUUCGAUGGGCUCGCGGCCUAUCAGCUAGUUGGAGGGGUAACGGCCCACCAAGGCGAUGACGGGUAACUGGUCUGAGAGGAUGAUCAGUCACACUGGAACUGAGACACGGUCCAGACACCUACGGGUGGCAGCAGUCGAGAAUCAUUCGCAAUGGGGGAAACCCUGACGGUGCGACGCCGCGUGGAGGAUGAAGGCCUUCGGGUCGUAAACUCCUGUCAUCAAGGAGUAAGGUGUGGGGGUUAAGAGCUACCACAUGUGAUAGUACUUGAAGAGGAAGGGACGGCAAACUUCGUGCCAGCAGCCGCGGUAAUACGAAGGUCCCAAGCGUUGUUCGGAAUUACUGGGCGUAAAGGGAGCGUAGGCGGCGGGGCAAGUCAGAUGUGAAAUACCGGGGCUCAACUCCGGGACGGCAUCCGAUACUGCCUUGCUAGAGUAGUGGAGGGGCGACUGGAAUUCUCGGUGUAGCAGUGAAAUGCGUAGAGAUCGAGAGGAACACUAGUGGCGAAGGCGAGUCGCUGGACACUAACUGACGCUGAGGCUCGAAGGCUAGGGGAGCGAAAGGGAUUAGAUACCCCUGUAGUCCUAGCAGUAAACGGUGCACGUUUGGUGUGGGGCGGUUCGACCCGUUCCGCGCCGGAGCUAACGCGUUAAACGUGCCGCCUGGGGAGUACGGCCGCAAGGCUAAAACUCAAAGAAAUUGACGGGGACCCGCACAAGCGGUGGAGUAUGUGGCUUAAUUCGAUGCAACGCGAAGAACCUUACCCGGGCUUGACAUGCAUCCCUCAAGCGGUGAAAGCCGUGGAGUGUCGCAAGACACAGUUUGCACAGGUGCUGCAUGGCUGUCGUCAGCUCGUGUCGUGAGAUGUUGGGUUAAGUCCCGCAACGAGCGCAACCCCUAUGAUUAGUUGCCAGCGGGUAAAGCCGGGGACUCUAGUCAGACUGCCCAGAUCAACUGGGAGGAAGGUGGGGAUGACGUCAAGUCAGUAUGGCCCUUACGCCCGGGGCUGCACACGUACUACAAUGCUCAGUACAAUAUGAACCGAGACCGCGAGGUGGAGGAAAUCUGAAAAAGCUGGGCUCAGUUCGGAUUGCGGGCUGCAACUCGCCCGCAUGAAGUCGGAAUCGCUAGUAAUGGCGCAUCAGCAACGGCGCCGUGAAUACGUUCCCGGGUCUUGUACUCACCGCC
RNAcentral lists this ribosomal RNA (1388 nucleotides) under uncultured bacterium. RNAcentral describes it as "bacterial SSU rRNA". It matches the Rfam family "Bacterial small subunit ribosomal RNA", at positions 29 to 1394 of the family's 1533-position model. The record is from RNAcentral.